This 468-nucleotide ribosomal RNA is filed under the name uncultured bacterium. RNAcentral's name for it is "partial 16S ribosomal RNA". It matches the Rfam family "Bacterial small subunit ribosomal RNA", at positions 28 to 507 of the family's 1533-position model. The record is from RNAcentral.
GACGAACGCUGGCGGCGUGCUUAACACAUGCAAGUCGAACGGAAAGGCCCUGCUUUUGUGGGGUGCUCGAGUGGCGAACGGGUGAGUAACACGUGAGUAACCUGCCCUUGACUUUGGGAUAACUUCAGGAAACUGGGGCUAAUACCGGAUAGGAGCUCCUGCUGCAUGGUGGGGGUUGGAAAGUUUCGGCGGUUGGGGAUGGACUCGCGGCUUAUCAGCUUGUUGGUGGGGUAGUGGCUUACCAAGGCUUUGACGGGUAGCCGGCCUGAGAGGGUGACCGGCCACAAUGGGACUGAGAUACAGCCCAGACUCCUACGGGAGGCAGCAGGGGGGAAUAUUGCACAAUGGGCGGAAGCCUGAUGCAGAAACGCCGCGUUCGGGAAGACGGCCUUCGGGUUGUAAACCGCUUUCGCCUGUGACGAAGCGUGAGUGACGGUAAUGGGUAAAGAAGCACCGGCUAACUACGUG